UCGAACGGAAACGAUGCUAGCUUGCUAGCAGGCGUCGAGUGGCGGACGGGUGAGUAAUGUAUAGGGAUCUGCCUGAUAGUGGGGGACAACGUGUGGAAACGCACGCUAAUACCGCAUACGCUCUACGGAGGAAAGCGGGGGCUCUUCGGACCUCGUGCUAUCAGAUGAACCUAUAUCAGAUUAGCUAGUUGGUGAGGUAAUGGCUCACCAAGGCGACGAUCUGUAGCUGGUUUGAGAGAAUGAUCAGCCACACUGGGACUGAGACACGGCCCAGACUCCUACGGGAGGCAGCAGUGGGGAAUAUUGCACAAUGGAGGAAACUCUGAUGCAGCAAUGCCGCGUGUGUGAAGAAGGCCUUAGGGUUGUAAAGCACUUUCAAUAGGGAGGAAAAGUAUAAGUUUAAUACACUUAUGCCGUGACGUUACCUAUAGAAGGAGGACCGGCUAACUCCGUGCCAGCAGCCGCGGUAAUACGGAGGGUCCGAGCGUUAAUCGGAAUUACUGGGCGUAAAGCGCGCGUAGGCGGAUAGAUAAGUCAGAUGUGAAAUCCCUGGGCUCAACCUAGGAACUGCAUUUGAAACUGUCUAUCUAGAGUAUGGUAGAGGUGAGUGGAAUUUCAGGUGUAGCGGUGAAAUGCGUAGAGAUCUGAAGGAACAUCAGUGGCGAAGGCGACUCACUGGGCCAUUACUGACGCUGAGGUGCGAAAGCGUGGGUAGCAAACAGGAUUAGA
RNAcentral lists this ribosomal RNA (729 nucleotides) under uncultured Gammaproteobacteria bacterium. RNAcentral describes it as "bacterial SSU rRNA". It matches the Rfam family "Bacterial small subunit ribosomal RNA", at positions 62 to 782 of the family's 1533-position model. Lineage: Bacteria; Pseudomonadati; Pseudomonadota; Gammaproteobacteria. The record is from RNAcentral.